This 259-nucleotide ribosomal RNA is filed under the name uncultured bacterium. RNAcentral describes it as "partial 16S ribosomal RNA". It matches the Rfam family "Bacterial small subunit ribosomal RNA", at positions 793 to 1055 of the family's 1533-position model. The record is from RNAcentral.
GUCCACGCAGUAAACGAUGAAUACUAGCUGUUGGCGAUAUAAUGUCAGCGGUACAGCGAAAGUGUUAAGUAUUCCACCUGGGGAGUACGCCGGCAACGGUGAAACUCAAAGGAAUUGACGGGGGGCCCGCACAAGCGGAGGAACAUGUGGUUUAAUUCGAUGAUACGCGAGGAACCUUACCCGGGCUUGAAAGUUAGUGACUGACUUGGAAACAGGUCUUUCCUUCGGGACACGAAACUAGGUGCUGCAUGGUUGUCGU